RNAcentral lists this ribosomal RNA (250 nucleotides) under uncultured bacterium. RNAcentral's name for it is "partial 16S ribosomal RNA". It matches the Rfam family "Bacterial small subunit ribosomal RNA", at positions 524 to 773 of the family's 1533-position model. The record is from RNAcentral.
UACGUAGGGUGCGAGCGUUAAUCGGAAUUACUGGGCGUAAAGCGUGCGCAGGCUGUUUUGUAAGACAGAUGUGAAAUCCCCGGGCUUAACCUGGGAACUGCAUUUGUGACUGCAAGGCUAGAGUGUGUCAGAGGGGGGUAGAAUUCCACGUGUAGCAGUGAAAUGCGUAGAUAUGUGGAGGAAUACCGAUGGCGAAGGCAGCCCCCUGGGAUAACACUGACGCUCAUGCACGAAAGCGUGGGGAGCAAAC